This 504-nucleotide ribosomal RNA is filed under the name uncultured bacterium. RNAcentral's name for it is "partial 16S ribosomal RNA". It matches the Rfam family "Bacterial small subunit ribosomal RNA", at positions 28 to 523 of the family's 1533-position model. The record is from RNAcentral.
GAUGAACGCUAGCUACAGGCUUAACACAUGCAAGUCGAGGGGCAGCAUGACGGAAGCUUGCUUCCGUUGAUGGCGACCGGCGCACGGGUGAGUAACGCGUAUCCAACCUGCCCUUGUCCAUCGGAUAACCCGUCGAAAGGCGGACUAACACGAAAUGCAGUUCACCGCAGGCAUCUAACGUGAACGAAAUGUGAAGGAGAAGGAUGGGGAUGCGUCUGAUUAGCUUGUUGGCGGGGUAACGGCCCACCAAGGCGACGAUCAGUAGGGGUUCUGAGAGGAAGGUCCCCAACAUUGGAACUGAGACACGGUCCAAACUCCUACGGGAGGCAGCAGUGAGGAAUAUUGGUCAAUGGGCGAGAGCCUGAACCAGCCAAGUAGCGUGCAGGAUGACGGCCCUAUGGGUUGUAAACUGCUUUUAUAUGGGGAUAAAGUGAGCCACGUGUGGCUUAUUGCAGGUACCGUAUGAAUAAGGACCGGCUAAUUCCGUGCCAGCAGCCGCCGCCG